UGGACGAGUCUGAUGGAGCACGCCGCGUGAGUGAAGAAGGUUUUAGGAUCGUAAAACUCUGUUGUUGGAGAAGAACAGGGACUAGAGUAACUGUUAGUCCUUUGACGGUAUCCAACCAGAAAGCCACGGCUAACUACGUGCCAGCA
Molecule: ribosomal RNA, 146 nt
Filed under: uncultured Lactobacillus sp.
Lineage: Bacteria; Bacillati; Bacillota; Bacilli; Lactobacillales; Lactobacillaceae
Description: partial 16S ribosomal RNA
Rfam family: Bacterial small subunit ribosomal RNA
Source: RNAcentral